GACGAACGCUGGCGGCAUGCCUAAUACAUGCAAGUCGAGCGAAUGAUGAAGAAGCUUGCUUCUUCUGAUUUAGCGGCGGACGGGUGAGUAACACGUGGGCAACCUGCCCUGUAGAUUGGGAUAACUCCGGGAAACCGGGGCUAAUACCGAAUAAUCCAUUUCCUCACAUGUGGAAAUGUUAAAAGACGGUUUCGGCUGUCACUACAGGAUGGGCCCGCGGCGCAUAGCUAGUUGGUA
RNAcentral lists this ribosomal RNA (237 nucleotides) under uncultured bacterium. RNAcentral's name for it is "partial 16S ribosomal RNA". It matches the Rfam family "Bacterial small subunit ribosomal RNA", at positions 28 to 254 of the family's 1533-position model. The record is from RNAcentral.